CAGCGCCACAAGUGGCAAUCAGCUUUAUUUGGUCUAAAGCGUCCGUAGCUGGUUCGGUAAAUCUCUUGUGAAAUCGUUGGGCUCAACCUAACGGACUGCGGGAGACACUACCAGACUCGGGACCGGGAGGAGUCAGAGGUAUUCCUUGGGGAGCGGUAAAAUGCUUUAAUCCUUGGAAGACCACCAAUGGCGAAGGCAUCUGACCAGAACGGAUCCGACAGUGAGGGACGAAAGCUAGGGGAGCGAACCGGAUUAGAUACCCGUGUAGUCC
Molecule: ribosomal RNA, 271 nt
Filed under: uncultured archaeon
Lineage: Archaea
Description: partial 16S ribosomal RNA
Rfam family: Archaeal small subunit ribosomal RNA
Source: RNAcentral